UAUUUGCUGACGACGAAGAAAGUAAUUGCAUGAAUUGGCUGAAAAGAGAGGGAAAGUCUCGGGCUGUAAACUUUCCUACAGACACCUGCGAUGAAUAACACUUUUGAGGCUUUUUUCUGAAAAGCGCUUGCCGCUUAUUAGGAAAAAACGGAACCGGCCGUUACCCGGAAUGAGAGGAUGCAUUUUUCUGCAUCAACUAGGGUGGAACCGCGGAAGCUAAUACAAGCUCUCGUCCCUUGC
RNAcentral lists this non-coding RNA (240 nucleotides) under Planococcus sp. (in: firmicutes). RNAcentral describes it as "Planococcus sp. T-box sequence". It matches the Rfam family "T-box leader". Rfam says of the family: Uncharged tRNA acts as the effector for transcription antitermination of genes in the T-box leader family. T-boxes are found upstream of many aminoacyl-tRNA synthetase genes and some amino acid biosynthetic genes usually in Gram-positive bacteria. The record is from RNAcentral. Lineage: Bacteria; Bacillati; Bacillota; Bacilli; Caryophanales; Caryophanaceae.